GAAAUGUAAAAUCUGAAAUUUAUAAAAAUUGAAAGGGAGCUUACAUCAAUAGAUAUAAACAAUUCACCAAAGUUUCAUGGACAUUGGUGAAAGCCUUUUUGAGUUAUUGUCCGAAGUGUUGAAAAUCCCCCUUUUUUUAUAUGAAUAAAGCCCCAUAAAUCCAAAACUUAAAAUCUGAAAUUUAUAAAAAUUGAAAGGGAGCUUACAUCAAUAGAUAUA
This 219-nucleotide long non-coding RNA is filed under the name Mytilus galloprovincialis (Mediterranean mussel). The record is from RNAcentral. Lineage: Eukaryota; Metazoa; Mollusca; Bivalvia; Mytilida; Mytilidae.